RNAcentral lists this long non-coding RNA (1010 nucleotides) under Zostera marina. RNAcentral describes it as "long non-coding RNA (ZMAR_LNC001279)". Lineage: Eukaryota; Viridiplantae; Streptophyta; Magnoliopsida; Alismatales; Zosteraceae. The record is from RNAcentral.
AGUUUUUGCCAUAGUGCUGUCAUGUUUUGAUGAUAAAGGAUCUGAUUCCUCCCUUUCUUUUGCAUCCAACACACUCAUUACGGAAUUUCUCUUAAUAGAUUUCACGUCAGGUAAUUUCCCUACACUUUCUCUUUGCUCAAAUACACUGCUAGAUUGUGAUGCCGAUCUUGAUCUCUGUAGCCUACUUUGACCUGUUCUUGCUCUAGGGCUCUCUAAAGAAGACGAUGGCAGUGGAUUGGCAUCCAUAUUAUUAUCUUCUCUAAAGAAAAUCAGAUUCAAUAUAAAAAGAAGUGGGUUUCUUUAAUCUCGAACCAGAAAUUUAAAGUGUUGAUUAACAAUUUAACAUCUAGAUUUUGUUGGGUUUUUUUUACCUUGUGCAGAUUAAGUUGCCUUUGCAAAUAAACCAUAUGUUGCAAGAGGAAGGGGCUUCUUUUAUCAGAAUGCAUGGUGUCUUUGAAACUGGUGAUCUCAAUCCCCUGUAAAUGGUGAGUUUCAAACUAAAUUACCAGCCUUUUGCAGAAGAAAGAAAAAUACAUCUGUUAUCAAUUAAUCUAGCCGAAUAUAAUUUUUUUGUUAUAAAUCCUUGUCCAUACUUUGUGUAAUCGUUAUCCCCUGAUGCUGCUCCCAUGACAAGCCUAGUGAUGCCAUGUUCAGAGAUGGCAUCUAUGAGAGCUUUCGCAAGAUCAUCUGCUUCAAUAACUAGCAUCUCAGAGUGCACCUGAUAAGAAAUGCACAAAUGCACAUUUGAAACAUGAUAUUUAAAAAAUUCUUCAGUCGACCAACUUUAAUAAUUCUCCAAUUAAUACUUAAAUAGAGAAAUUAAGAAUCUAAAUGUAAAACCCUUUGCAAAAAGGGUGGACAAAAAACUACCUUAAUUAAUUAUACAUACCUUUGCAAUUUCACAAAUAAACAUAUAUUCUUUCAUAGUCUUGUUCAUCUUUUCUCUUUCUUGAUUUCUGUAGGUCUCAAUCUGAUCUGUUGUCAGUUGGCUCACAUGAAACCACCCUCCC